AUAUUAAAGAUGUUAUAUGACCCUAAUUCAAGUGUGAGAGAAGCCGCUAUUUUGUGCAUCGAGGUUGUGAAGUACAUUUGAGUUCGUUUGCUUGAAGCCUGGAACUUAUGGGCAGGAGAUGUAUGCUCAAAUUGGGCCUCAGUUCUACGAAGAACUCAUGCGCCAUCAGCUUCCAUCAUCAAUGAUUUGGUGAACAAUCUUGGUACAUUGCAAGAAGCAAAGAGUUGUUGGUGCUGAUGUUAGCAUGGUUGGAUACAUUAGUGUUGGUUUGUACUGUGCUUAUUUGGUUUCGUUGCUGACAAGGUAGAAUAUUUUAAAGAACGCAUGCCUAAAGAUCUAAUAAAGAAGGAUUAGUUCAUCAAAAUGACCGGAAUGGCCUUCCAACACACGACUCUUGGGGAGAGGACAUUUGGUGUUUUGACAAAGAUUAAUCUUAUGAACAAGGGGACUGGUGCAGUUUAUGCAUGCUGUUCUCAACCAUUCACACACUCUGAGCCUCAUUUAAUGUUCAUGUUUCUUAACCGGUUGCAAAGGAGGGUGAUGAGAAAUGGAAGCCUAUGAAUGAUGAAGCCACUCUAAUAAGGGUUCAUGUUGUUCAAAACUUCAAUCCAAUUGAGGCAAUCCAUGAAUCAUUAUAAGCUGGGCUGAAACUUGCUCGAUAAGAGGGGCCAAUGUGAAAUUAUGGGUUGCCGGUGAUUUUUAGGAUGACAAUGAUGGUC
RNAcentral lists this long non-coding RNA (719 nucleotides) under Helianthus annuus (common sunflower). The record is from RNAcentral. Lineage: Eukaryota; Viridiplantae; Streptophyta; Magnoliopsida; Asterales; Asteraceae.